UACAGAGGGUGCAAGCGUUGUUCGGAAUCAUUGGGCGUAAAGGGCGCGUAGGCGGCAAUUCAAGUCAUCUGUGAAAUCUCUGGGCUUAACCCAGAACGGCCAGGUGAUACUGCUUUGCUAGAGUGCGGAAGGGGCAAUCGGAAUUCUUGGUGUAGCGGUGAAAUGCGUAGAUAUCAAGAGGAACACCUGAGGUGAAGACGGGUUGCUGGGCCGACACUGACGCUGACAGCGCGAAAGCCAGGGGAGCAAACGGG
RNAcentral lists this ribosomal RNA (254 nucleotides) under uncultured bacterium. RNAcentral describes it as "partial 16S ribosomal RNA". It matches the Rfam family "Bacterial small subunit ribosomal RNA", at positions 524 to 776 of the family's 1533-position model. The record is from RNAcentral.